This 526-nucleotide RNase P RNA is filed under the name Christensenellaceae bacterium. Its description in RNAcentral is "RNase P RNA component class A". It matches the Rfam family "Bacterial RNase P class A". Rfam says of the family: Ribonuclease P (RNase P) is a ubiquitous endoribonuclease, found in archaea, bacteria and eukarya as well as chloroplasts and mitochondria. Its best characterised activity is the generation of mature 5'-ends of tRNAs by cleaving the 5'-leader elements of precursor-tRNAs. Cellular RNase Ps are ribonucleoproteins. The record is from RNAcentral. Lineage: Bacteria; Bacillati; Bacillota; Clostridia; Christensenellales; Christensenellaceae.
GACGCUAGCCAAAGCAACAGCACUCGUUCGCGAGUGAGGAAAGUCCGGGCAUCAAAUGGCAGGGUGCAGGCUAACGGCCUGUCGGGGCAACUCGAAGGAAAGUGCAACAGAAAAUAAACCGCCCGCAUGGGUUUUGCCCCUAGCGAGCAAGGUUGAAAAGGCGGAGUAAGAGCCCACCGCGCGCUUGGCGACAAGCUCGGCAAUGUAAACCCCACCUGAUGCAAGGUUAGAUGUCGUGGCGGAGCAAUCCGCGAAAAACUUAGCCAGAGUCCACGGCACAUACACCGCGUGAGCGCGUUGGCAACAGCGCGCCAAGAUAGAUUGUUGCUUGGGAGCUGUUGAUUGCUCCUAAACAAUUUUAGGACGAUGCCUUUUUUGCCCCUUUCCGUGUCUUUUUCGGUUAUUUAGCUUUGCUAAACUGCCCUCAAAAGCCGCGAAAAUGGUCUAAAAAAUUCAUUCGCCUAAAAUCGUUAGUAGCUAAUCAACAGCUCCGAAACAGAACCCGGCUUAUUGGCUAGCUCCAUUA